RNAcentral lists this ribosomal RNA (255 nucleotides) under uncultured bacterium. Its description in RNAcentral is "partial 16S ribosomal RNA". It matches the Rfam family "Bacterial small subunit ribosomal RNA", at positions 524 to 776 of the family's 1533-position model. The record is from RNAcentral.
UACGUAGGCAGCAAGCGUUGUUCGGAGUUACUGGGCGUAAAGGGCGUGUAGGCGGUUGAUUAAGUCAGUUGUUAAAUUCCUCAGCCUAACUGAGGCCAAGCAAUUGAAACUGGUCGGCUAGAGUACAGAAGAGAGAAGUGGAAUUAUCGGAGUAGCGGUAAAAAUGCGUAGAUCUCGAUAGGAACACCGAUGGCGAAGGCAGCUUCUUGGUCUGUUACUGACGCUAAAAUGCGAAAAGCGUGGGGAGCAAACAGG